Molecule: small nucleolar RNA, 89 nt
Rfam family: Small nucleolar RNA snR73
UUAUAUGAUGAUCAAUUAUCACGACGGUCAACAUAAAGCCACACGUUGGUAUUGAUGAAAAUGCCUGUGACAGGGCUGUAGAUCUGAUA